UUAAAAUCUAAUUAAUCAGCCUUAAUAUUUUUGCAAUGCGUAGGUCUCUGUUAUAUGCCAUUUGGUAUGGGAUUCCUAAAAGCAGUGUUAAAUGUUUGUGAUGCGCCAUCUGUUGGAAUGACAGAGACACAGCAACCAGACAGACACACACUUGACCCUUUUAUUAAGGUGGACGAGCUGCACUACCCAUCUAAGACAAGUUGAAAUCUAAAUAGCCCACGUUGCCCUCAACGUUAACAUUUGCCGUCCGUGUCUCUGUCACGUCCUUUGUAAAAGCAGUGUUGUUUGUGAUGCAUCACCUGUUGGAAUGACAGACAUAACAACCAGACACGUAUCUUUUCAAUCAGGUACAUAAGAUAGUAACUGAAGGGAAAAAAAAACAACAAUUGGCGCACAUUGUUGACGUGAGGGUCUCCACGUGGAGUGGACAUUCGCUUUCUCGUUUGUGCAACAAAAUGAAUUCUGGAUGUGGAAUGUAAACAGGCCAUCUUGGCACUUAGGACGAGACACUGCUACAUUUAGGGACAGUUCAGACCUUCAUCCCGAGCCACGUGUGACCCUGAGGUUCGGCUCGUGCUAACGGCCCGUUUUUGCUGGUUAUGAUGUUCCUAGUUGUCAAAUUUUAAAAUGAACAUUGUGAGGACUUAGUUAACUGUUUGAAUGUUUGCUGUUUGGGUGGGGAGGCGGUGACCCCAGUGAAGGGCUUGUAAGAUUAGAGAGGCACUCGUGUCCUUCGCUCCCUCUAAAGAAACGUUGAUCCUGGCACCGUUCUCGGUGGGGUUGUCGGUAGUGGAAACGAUGAAAUCCACAGCUGUGAGCAGGUCAGGGGUGCCAUGAUGUUUUGCGGAUAUCGAUGUCUCCCAGCUUGUCAAACUGCCGCUAUUGGCGGCACAAGGGCAAAUGGCCCCCCACUCUAUACAGAACAAUUGGCACCGGCGUCGGCCACUCCACAGAUUGCUCCAUGGGCAUCGGUACGGGGCACACACAGUCUGGGGGAGAAAUCAAUGCCAACCAUUUAGAGGGUGAACAGGCUGGCACUGUGGUUUAUUGCAGGGCACUCCAUCAGUCCUCACUGGACCUGCAUUGGGGGGCUUUCACUGGCCGGGGGGCUUGGACGCCAUGGAAGCCUAAAGUCCGUCAGCGGCCAUGAGAUCACAGAAGACAGCAAGGCUACGGUUGGACGGUCAGGUCCUCGCCCAGGCCACGUUACCAACCAGUAGCUGGCAUUGAGAGCAGUCACAGCUGGAAAAGGGAGACCCCAGCGUGAUGUCGAGAUGUUACAGACCCCCACUGACCGCUCCGACUAUCCCAGACCACCCAAAGGACCAGCGCCCUGCUGCUUUCUUCAAGUUCCGAAUUUCAUUGUGCCUUAGUUGUCGGGGGGCUCUGAUCUCGUCGGUCCAGGACUGACAUUCACCUUCGACCAAUCGGCUUCUAACUUAAGGCUGUGAGCCCACACAGGAGGGUCUUCGCCCUCAGAUGGUUACGAUUUUACAAAGGACCCCCCACCCCCAGUUACCUCUGAAAUGUGGACCACGAGAUUUUUUUUUUUUUUUUCCCUAACCCUAACCUAAACCCGAUUGGCUGGAGGUGAACGUCUUGUCCUGGGACAACAGCUCUUCACGUUACUCCAAAAGCGACAGACGCCCACCCUCAGACUGCCCUUCGUUUUUUUAGACCAUUUGCAAUGUAUUUCAAAAGCUGCUCGUCGCUCCUCUUCACGAUUUUCUACCAUCCACUUCGUCCCAUUUUAUUUUUUAAAAAGGAAAUUCCACUUCUGCUACUUGCACUAAUCAGGAGCCAUCCAGCCCGCCUGUGCCUGACGAACAGAGGACACGAAAAAUUAAAAAUGGGAAGACAAGCCAUCGGGUCCCAGCAGUCCCACCUCACUUCGGUGGUUCUACAAUUUUCGCAAAAGGAGAUCGUCGACUGUAAUCCUCCUUGGCAAAAAGUCUGCCAGCUCAACUCUUACCCUCAGUGGCAUUGGUCUUACUGCCAACCUGAAGAGGAUUGUGGCACGUGCAGAAGAACCCGGACUAAACGGAAAUCGUAAAAAAAAUCGAUUAAAAGAUGAACGGCGGAACUCGGCCGAGGCCGGUGACGGGCGUGUCACUGCCGGUGAAGCAGCGGGUCCCCAAGACGUUCCUGUUUUCUACAGACUGUGCCGUGUCUCCGUUGGUCGCCAAUGGGGGAGGGGGUGUUGCUCACUUCUUUAUUAAGGAUGGCUACCCCUCCCCCACCCACACCCCAAUUUGCUUUGUGGGCGCUUAACUCCCGAGGUUUGUGGUCUCCAGUCCAAGUGUACUGUAUGCUUGAUUGCUGCCCUUCCUUCUCCUCAGAUUUUUAUUAAGAUUUUGUUUUUGGUGCGAUUUUUCUUUUUUUUUGGCUCGUUAUUAAUAAUGUUAAUAUAAAAAGGAGAUUAAAUGAUUUAACAAAUAAA
Molecule: long non-coding RNA, 2440 nt
Organism: Erpetoichthys calabaricus (reedfish)
Lineage: Eukaryota; Metazoa; Chordata; Cladistia; Polypteriformes; Polypteridae
Exons: 2
Source: RefSeq, a predicted model, not a curated record